Molecule: ribosomal RNA, 253 nt
Filed under: uncultured bacterium
Lineage: Bacteria
Description: partial 16S ribosomal RNA
Rfam family: Bacterial small subunit ribosomal RNA
Source: RNAcentral
UACGGGGGGGGCAAGCGUUGUUCGGAAUUACUGGGCGUAAAGGGCUCGUAGGCGGCCAACUAAGUCGGACGUGAAAUCCCCAGGCUCAACCUGGGAACUGCGUCCGAUACUGGAUGGCUUGAAUUCGGGAGAGGGAUGCAGAAUUCCAGGUGUAGCGGUGAAAUGCGUAGAUAUCUGGAGGAAUACCGGUGGCGAAGGCGGCAUCCUGGACCGGCACUGACACUGAGGAGCGAAAGCCAGGGGAGCAAACGGG